CAGGGAUAUAGAUGGGAAAUGAAAUCACCUGGCCCCUGACUCAGUCCAUCUCCCAGGCUAACUGGGAGCUACUGGAUACAGGCAUCAGGAAGGUGAUGUGAAAGAUGCCGCAGGUGAAAGAGAAGAAGAACGCGGAGCACCUGAGCAGCUGUGGAGCCUCGGAUUCGUUGGAAGGCACAUUCUUGGAAGAAUAGGAAUUCUUCUCAACAAAUUCCUCUCAACUUCUUG
This 228-nucleotide long non-coding RNA is filed under the name Homo sapiens (human). RNAcentral describes it as "non-protein coding lnc-QKI-4:4". The record is from RNAcentral. Lineage: Eukaryota; Metazoa; Chordata; Mammalia; Primates; Hominidae.